CGAGUAGAUCGGCGACCCNUCCGACCCGUCUUGAAACACGGUCCAAGGAGUCUAACAUGUGAGCGAGCGAUCGGGUGCCUCCAGACCCGGACGCGCAAUGAAAGUGAAGGCCCGGACAGCCCCGGGCCGUGGGGCGACCCCGUCGCCUCGGCGGCGGAGGGCGCAGCCCCGGGACGCGCCGAUCGCCUCGUCGACGGCUCGUACCCCGAGCGUACACGUUGGGACCCGAAAGAUGGUGAACUAUGCCUGGCCAGGACGAAGUCAGAGGAAACUCUGAUGGAGGUCCGUAGCGAUUUUGACGUGCAAAUCAAUCGUCCGAGCUGGGUAUAGGGGCGAAAGACUAAUCGAACCAUCUAGUAGCUGGAUCCAUCCGAAGUUUCCCUCAGGAUAGCUGGCGCUCGCANGACCGAGUUUCAUCCGGUAAAGCGAAUGAUUAGAGGCCUUGGGGCCGAAACGANCUCAACCUAUUCUCAAACUUUAAAUGGGUGAGAAGUCGGGCUUGCUCGACUGAAGCACCGACCNUNGAAUCNAGAGUGCCAAGUGGGCCACUUUUGGUAAGCAGAACUGGCGCUGUGGGAUGAACCAAACGCAGAGUUAAGGUGCCCGAGAGAACGCUCAUCAGAUCCCAUGAAAGGUGUUGGUUGCUAUAGACAGCAGGACGGUGGCCAUGGAAGUCGGAA
RNAcentral lists this ribosomal RNA (680 nucleotides) under Facetotecta sp. RNAcentral describes it as "partial large subunit ribosomal RNA". It matches the Rfam family "Eukaryotic large subunit ribosomal RNA", at positions 624 to 1266 of the family's 3401-position model. The record is from RNAcentral. Lineage: Eukaryota; Metazoa; Arthropoda; Thecostraca.